This 3068-nucleotide long non-coding RNA is filed under the name Musa acuminata (dwarf banana). Its description in RNAcentral is "long non-coding RNA (MACU_LNC005570)". The record is from RNAcentral. Lineage: Eukaryota; Viridiplantae; Streptophyta; Magnoliopsida; Zingiberales; Musaceae.
UGAUCCUUAAAGGACUAUGGAACCUCCAAUGGUUUGAACAAGAACACAGUAAUUCUCUAUCAGAGACGAGUCUCGAAUUCUACAAUAGACCGGUUUAGGCAGCAGAAACAACAACAUUCACAUAUGAUGUAGAUGAUGAAGGUAGCCAGCCAAGAGAGCGAGAUUAUUUGGGUCCCCAGGAGUCCAGGUAGAUGAUCUUGGACAUCGAAUCCUCGGUGCGCCUGGCUCUCUCCACCGCUUUCUCCCCUCCUCUCCUCCACUGAUCAAUGGAAGAAGAAGACAUCCUCUUGGCCCGAGAGAACGGCGCCAUGCUGCGCUUGGCACGCCCGUGGAGGGACCUGAGCGCGUAGUUCCAUCGACACAGGCCCGCCUGAUCCUUGAGCGCCUCCACCGCCGCCACGCUCGCUGCGACGAUCAGCGAAGCCUUGCUUGCCGAAGCCAUAUGUAUCAAUCUACUACUCAGUAGUUUGAACCUGUGAUGAGUUGCAAAUGUUACAGAAGUGGGCGACGGGGAAGGGAAACACAAGCGUCCAUAUAAAGCCCCCGAGGAAGGGAAAACAGGGGAUGAGAUUGCCGCUGGUUUCGGCUCAUAGUUGUUUCCCAGAUACAAGGGGAGGCUUUUGCUUGUUUACGGAUAAGACUGUGACUGCAUUGGAAUCAGUGAGACGGAUGGUUUGGUAGGAGAAAACGUGUGGCUAAAGUAGAACAAAAGGCACACGGAUCGGAGACCUGUGGGCGGCACCAGUAAACCGGGAAUCUAACGGUUGAUCAGCCAUCCUUGCUUGGCUUGGCGAUCCUGUCGAGAUGUGAGGUUUGGUCUCUCUCUAUCUCUCUCUCUCUCUCUCUCUCACACACACAUCUUUGAGUCGAGCAACUGCGGAUGGAUUCCCUUCUUACUCCUGUUUUUGUUUCGGUAACAAAGGUCACUCAGCAUCAGUCUCUUGCUGGAUCGAUAAUAGUAUCUAUCUAAAACAAAUUCUCUCUUUUUUUAUUGUUCUUGUAUGAGCUGAAGAUAAAGAAAGGGAUAAACAUUGGUGAGAGAUGGGAGAGAGUGAUCUUUCGAAGAUGUGAUUGAUUUAGCAUAGCUUCUGCCGAUGGAUUUCAUGUCAUCCUUUGCUCCUUUUAAUCAGUUCCAUCGAAUAUAUAUGAGAUAAGACGAGAAAUGCCACAAACAUCUUGAACAAACUUAUCCAUGCCAUGAAAAGGCCUCAUCAUGUUCGAACAAUUCAGUAUAUAUUACUGCAAAAUCGGAUUGUUUUUACAUAGGAGACGUAGGCUGAACAGAGAAGAAGGAUUUGGUUCAUCUUUGAACCAAACACAAAGACACCUCUCUCUAAUUGGGACCCCAACAGCUCAAGUACACGACCGUCCUCAGUGCCUCCUCUGCUUGCUUGGCCUUCGCAUCCGCCGCCUGCCACUCUCUCCUCGUGUCGAUGGAGGAAGAUGUCCUCUUGGCCCGAGACAAGGAGCCUACGGUGUUGUUCUUCGUCCGCUGCUGCAGAGAUCUGAGGACGUAGUUCCACCGGCAUAGCCCCGCUUGGUCCUUGAGCGCUUCCACUGCGCUCAUGCUAGCCGCGACAACGAAACAAGCCCUGCUUGCAGAAGCCAUAUCUUUAGCCUAUGAAAGAACUGAUGAGUGACAAAGAAGAUCUCGGUGGAAGUAGAUCGUGAGUGUCUCAAUCUGAUGCCGAAGAAGGAGAUGGAAGGGUGUCCAAUAUAUAAGGCUACGGUAAUCGAGGAGGUUGGGAGGAGAGGGUAUGGAAGAGAAAGAGAACCGGGGUGCGCUGCUGCUGGUUUCUUGCUUCUCACUCCCCCUUCCCCUGAUACCAGCGGCCAUAUUGCUUGUUUAUUAGCUUCCACAUGGUUGGAUUUGACACCGCGAGAGUGACGCCAAGGAACUUGGCAGCAUAUGUAUCUUGGAUCUGUAAUAUGUAUAGUAUAGUAUAGUAUAGUAUAGCAUAUAUAUAUAUAUAUAUAUGGUUUCAUCCAAUAAAUUUAUAUCUGAAAUAUUAAUUUCAAGAUGAUAUACGUAUUUAUUUAUCUCCGUAAAAUUAAGCUACAAAAUCUGCAUGUCCAUAAUAAUAAUGGAGAUGAUCACAAAACCCAAGCGAGACGAAUGGCGUCGUCUCUACAACACUCCUAUUUGGGUCCCCAGCAGUCCAAGUAGAUGAGCUUGGACAAGGACCUCUCGGUGCGCUUGGCUCUCUCCACCGCUCCCUCCCCUCCUUUCCUCCACUGAUCAACGGACGACCAAGACAUCCUCUUGGCCUGAGAGAGCGUCGCCAUGCUGCGUUUCGCCCGCUGGUGGAGGGACCCAACCGUGUAGUUCCAUCGGCACAGCCCUGCUUGAUCCUUGAGCGCCUCCACAGCCGCCAUGCUCGCUGCGAUUAUCAACGAAGCCUUGCUUGCCGAAACCAUACGUAUCAAUCGCCUGCUCUGAGUUUGAAUCUGUGUAACAGAAGUGAGUGUUCGACGGGGAAAGGGAAAGAGCACACGACAGUCCAUAUAAAGCCCGGAACGGAGGGCGGCUGCAGGGAAGGGAGAGGUGGAGGAAGGAGGAAACUGGGGAUGAGCUGCUGCUGCUGCUGGUUUUGGGUUGCUGUUGUUUUCCAGAUACGGAGGGCUUUCGGUAGGCACUUAAAAAAUAUCCAUCUACUAAAGCAGAAGCAAAGCCACACGGAUCGAAAAAUGGUGGGCUCGACUUGCAGUGGGUGCACGAGGAAACUGGGAAUCCAGCGACGCAGAUAUGGAUUGUUCUGUCAGCUGGGUUGUCCUGUUUAUUUGGUUUUUGCCUUCAGCUCUGGUUAAGAAUUAGGGUUCGAUCAAUAUCAAUAAUGAUGCUCGAAUUACGAAACAAGUAACUAUAUCAAUACAUAGAUUCCUUUGUUGGUAACUCAUCUGGAAUGACGCGAGCUUAGCCAUCCAUCAUUGCUGGAAAGUAUUUGUGUGAGUUGAAAACUGUGGUGAAAGUGUAGGAAGUUUACUGUCUCACCGAGAAAGAGAACACUUUGGCGAAGAAUUCAGAUCGAUGGACACAAGGAAAACAUUUCUAACAUGCUUAUCCACGC